AAGAAAUAGGACAAAAUACAGCAACAGAAGGCUCAUAACUAACUUUCUGGAUCGAGAGCUUAAACGAACAGCAAAUAUGAAGCUGUGGGUACUCGCUUUGAUAUGUGUACUGGCGCAAGCUGUGCCUGCCGAGAAAACUUGUCCGCCUGUUUGUUUGAUUAUGUGCGUGUAUGGUAAUGAGCUAAAUGAAGAUGGCUGCCCAAUCUGCAAGUGCAAACCACGCCCGCCUGGGUGCCCUGUGGCAAGCUGCGCCAACUUGGGCUGCAAUACCUACAGAUACGCACUAGCUGGCAAUGGGUGCAGAGUCUGUGAAUGCGUUUCUUAACGAGUAACAGCCACU
Long non-coding RNA from Liolophura sinensis, 340 nucleotides. RefSeq lists it as uncharacterized. NCBI's taxonomy places the organism in Eukaryota, Metazoa, Mollusca, Polyplacophora, Chitonida, Chitonidae. The transcript has 3 exons. The record is from RefSeq and is a predicted model, not a curated record.